RNAcentral lists this ribosomal RNA (460 nucleotides) under uncultured bacterium. RNAcentral's name for it is "partial 16S ribosomal RNA". It matches the Rfam family "Bacterial small subunit ribosomal RNA", at positions 338 to 795 of the family's 1533-position model. The record is from RNAcentral.
CCUACGGGUGACAGCAGUGAGGAAUAUUGGUCAAUGGACGAGAGUCUGAACCAGCCAAGUAGCGUGAAGGAUGACUGCUCUAUGGGUUGUAAACUUCUUUUAUAUGGGAAUAAAAUGUUCCACGUGUGGGAUUUUGUAUGUACCAUAUGAAUAAGGAUCGGCUAACUCCGUGCCAGCAGCCGCGGUAAUACGGAGGAUCCGAGCGUUAUCCGGAUUUAUUGGGUUUAAAGGGAGCGUAGGUGGAUUGUUAAGUCAGUUGUGAAAGUUUGCGGCUCAACCGUAAAAUUGCAGUUGAAACUGGCAGUCUUGAGUACAGUAGAGGUGGGCGGAAUUCGUGGUGUAGCGGUGAAAUGCUUAGAUAUCACGAAGAACUCCGAUUGCGAAGGCAGUUCACUGGACUGCAACUGACACUGAGGCUCGAAAGUGUGGGUAUCAAACAGGAUUAGAUACCCCUGUAGUC